CCGGGAAGAGCUCAAAUUUGAAAUCUGGCGUCCUCAGGGCGUCCGAGUUGUAAUCUAUAGAGGCGUUUUCCGUGCCGGACCGUGUCCAAGUUCCUUGGAACAGGAUAUCAAAGAGGGUGACAAUCCCGUACUUGACACGACGACCGGUGCUCUGUGAUACGUCUUCUACGAGUCGAGUUGUUUGGGAAUGCAGCUCAAAAUGGGUGGUGAGUUCCAUCUAAAGCUAAAUAUUGGCGAGAGACCGAUAGCGAACAAGUACCGUGAGGGAAAGAUGAAAAGCACUUUGGAAAGAGAGUUAAACAGUACGUGAAAUUGUUGAAAGGGAAACGAUUGAAGUCAGUCGUGACCGAGAGGCUCAGCCGGUUCUGCCGGUGUAUUCCCCUCGGUCGGGUCAACAUCAGUUUUGUCCGGUGGAUAAGGGCGGUAGGAAGGUGGCACCCUCGGGUGUGUUAUAGCCUGCCGUCGCAUACAUCGGGUGAGACUGAGGAACGCAGCUCGCCUUUAUGGCCGGGGUUCGCCCACGUCCGAGCU
This 531-nucleotide ribosomal RNA is filed under the name Papiliotrema laurentii. Its description in RNAcentral is "eukaryotic LSU rRNA". It matches the Rfam family "Eukaryotic large subunit ribosomal RNA", at positions 98 to 608 of the family's 3401-position model. Lineage: Eukaryota; Fungi; Basidiomycota; Tremellomycetes; Tremellales; Rhynchogastremaceae. The record is from RNAcentral.